GAUGAAGAACGUAGCGAAAUGCGAUAAGUAGUGUGAAUUGCAGAAUUCAGUGAAUCAUCGAAUCUUUGAACGCACCUUGCGCCCUUUGGCUAUUCCGAAGGGCAUGCCUGUUUGAGUAUCAUGAACACCUCAACUCUCAUGGUUUUUCCAUGAUGGGCUUGGACUUUGGGGGUCUUGCUGGCCUAUAGUCAGCUCCUCUUAAAUGAAUCAGCUUGCCAGUGUUUGGUGGCAUCACAGGUGUGAUAACUAUCUACGCUUGUGGUUUUCCAUCAAGUCACCUUCAGCGAUGGGGUUCGCUGGGGCUCAUAAAGAAGGCCUCUCCUCGGUGAGGAUGGCUCCUUUGAACGUUUGAUCUCAAAUCAGGUAGGACUACCCGCUGAACUUAAGCAUAUCAAUAAGCGGAGGA
Molecule: unclassified non-coding RNA, 406 nt
Filed under: soil metagenome
Description: partial contains 5.8S ribosomal RNA, internal transcribed spacer 2, and large subunit ribosomal RNA
Rfam family: 5.8S ribosomal RNA (bases 1-121)
Source: RNAcentral